Carassius gibelio (silver crucian carp) is the source of this 993-nucleotide long non-coding RNA. RefSeq lists it as uncharacterized. The transcript has 2 exons. Lineage: Eukaryota; Metazoa; Chordata; Actinopteri; Cypriniformes; Cyprinidae. The record is from RefSeq and is a predicted model, not a curated record.
UAACAGCUGUUAAUUUGUUAGAUAUUAGAUAAAGCGAUUGAAUAAAGUGUGUGGUUUUUCUUUGUCUUUUUGGCAUUUAUUUAUUUAAAUUUUAAUUUAGAAUAUAUAUUUUUUUUUUAUAGACCCCUGUAUAUAUCAACAGGGCUGCUGAUCAUCAACCAACCUGAUGAAUGAAAAAAGCUAAUCAGCAAGACUAUGUGGAUGCAAUUACAACAUCAAAGCCACAGGGCUCUUUAAAAACCACCAGAAGAAAGUCCUCACCGGCAUUUCGAGAGUUUGGGGCUGAACGAAGCCGAUGAUAAGAUCCACAGAUCCAGGCCUGACGAAAAGGGACACAUCCUGAAAGGAUUAAAUGAUACAAAAAGAGCGAUGAUACAGCAGUAGAUUGUGUUGUGCAUCUUCAAAUUGUCUUUUAAUUUCCUCGAGGAGAAAAACUUGUAAUGAUGCUGCUGAAAUCCCUCUCUCGGGCUCAAAGCGCCAUCGCUGUGUGAUGUUCAGAGGAAUUAUGAAGCAAUGAAAGAUGAAAAUCUCAUUUGAGCAGAUGCUUUGGCUUUGUGUUAUGCUAAACUUUAUAUAAUACUAGUUUAUAGAUCUAUCAGAAUGUUUUACACAGAGCGACAUCAACAGAGACAACAACUUAAAAAAGCAUUUCUUGUUCAUUUUGCAUUGCACAAAUGAAAAACUGAAUCUUGUUUCCAAAACUGUUUUAAUCUCAAAUGUGCACUGAACUGGACAAAGUCUACUUGAAAAUGCAUAAUCGUUUUAAUUCCCACUUUUGAGGAGGAUGAAUGUCAAGUUCACCCUUUAUCAACCUUUUCUUUUUUCUUUAUUAAAUUAAGCAGCAUUGUUUUGAUUGGAAUAAAUUGCACAUUAAACCAGGAACAUGGUAAACAGGUCACUUUUGAUUUUGUGUUGCAAAGAUUGCAUUAGUAAUUGGCAGUGAUUAGUGUAAAUGCAUUUUCAUUUAAAAAGUAAAAUAAAAUGAAUAUCCCA